Molecule: ribosomal RNA, 449 nt
Filed under: uncultured prokaryote
Description: bacterial SSU rRNA
Rfam family: Bacterial small subunit ribosomal RNA
Source: RNAcentral
UGGGGAAUAUUGGACAAUGGGGGCAACCCUGAUCCAGCAAUGCCGCGUGUGUGAAGAAGGCUUGCGGGUUGUAAAGCACUUUCAGUAGGGAAGAAAAGCAGGGGGCUAAUACCGCCGUGCCUUGACGUCACCUACAGCAGACGCACCGGCUAACUCCGUGCCAGCAGCCGCGGUAAUACGGAGGGUGCGAGCGUUAAUCGGAAUUACUGGGCGUAAAGCGGGCGUAGGCGGCGAGGUCAGUCGGAUGUGAAAGCCCCGGGCUUAACCUGGGAACUGCAUUCGAUACUGCCUGGCUAGAGUAUGGGAGAGGGAAGCGGAAUUUCCGGUGUAGCGGUGAAAUGCGUAGAUAUCGGAAGGAACACCAGUGGCGAAGGCGGCUUCCUGGCCCAAUACUGACGCUGAGGUGCGAAAGCGUGGGUAGCGAACAGGAUUAGAUACCCGCGUAGUCC